GACGAACGCUGGCGGCGUGCCUCAUACAUGCAAGUGGAGCGACGAACCAGGGCUUUGCCCUGGGGCUAAGCCGCGAACGGGUGAGUAACACGUGGGUAACCUGCCCCGAAGACCGGGACAACCCGAGGAAACUCGGGCUAAUACCGGAUGUGCUCGCCGCGCACAAGCGCGGCGCGUAAAGGAAGCUUCGGCCUCCGCUUUGGGAGGGGCCCGCGGCCCAUUAGCUUGUUGGUGAGGUAACGGCUCACCAAGGCUGCGAUGGGUAGCUGGUCUAAGAGGACGGUCAGCCACACUGGGACUGAGACACGGCCCAGACUCCUACGGGAGGCAGCAGUAGGGAAUCUUGCGCAAUGCGCGAAAGCGUGACGCAGCAACGCCGCGUGGGGGAAGAAGGCCUUCGGGUUGUAAACCCCUUUCAGGAGGGACGAAGGUGCGGCGGCGAACAGCCGUCCGUACUGACGGUACCUCCAGAAGAAGCCCCGGCUAACUACGUGCCAGCCGCCGCCGUAAAAC
This 513-nucleotide ribosomal RNA is filed under the name uncultured bacterium. RNAcentral's name for it is "bacterial SSU rRNA". It matches the Rfam family "Bacterial small subunit ribosomal RNA", at positions 28 to 526 of the family's 1533-position model. The record is from RNAcentral.